This is a small nucleolar RNA of Xenopus tropicalis (tropical clawed frog), 132 nucleotides long. The record is from Ensembl. NCBI's taxonomy places the organism in Eukaryota, Metazoa, Chordata, Amphibia, Anura, Pipidae.
AUGCACAGAGAACACCCAAGUGUGCUUUCUAGCUCCCUUGGCCUUAAAACUGUGCUAAAUAGAUGUCUGUCCUUUUUCCUCUGCGGUAGGAGAUUUUAUUCUCUUGCACGUAUUCAGAAGCACAGUACAUUU